GUUUGCUCCUGAUCGACGUCAGAGCCGGCUCGGAGCGCUAAAAAUCUCAUUUCUUCCCCUCUGUUUUGGAAGGUUUGGAUGCAAACUGAGAAAAAUUGAGGCUGGAAUUUGUAACUGGGAUGGCAGCAAUAAUGUCACACACGUCCUGCCCCGUGCUGAAGGUGCUGCUGGGACAUCUGGGGCUCACCAGGGCAAUCCAGGAUAAAUCCCACCAUCCCCACCUGGAACGAUUGUGGACGUUUUUUGAUCAGAAAACGGAUAAAAGCUGCAGGAAGAACUUUGAGGAGGUCUCUGGGGUACAACCAACUGCUCAAGUGCCUGAGAUAUUCCAAAUUUUCCUUUCUGGGACCAGCUGAGAAGCAGCAGGUGCUCAACUGGUCAAAAAAAGCCAUUUCCUGAGAUAAGAAAUGUAAACCAAGUGCCAGUGGUGGAGAUUUAAUUGCUGCAAAUCUGUUGAGUGGAAGCUGAGCUUUCUGUUCUCCAAAAUAAUCACGUCCAGCUCCCAGCCAGCACAGCUGUGCUUCAGAUGCCUUCAAGUCUGUAGUAAAUUUGUUGUGGAUAUUAAUUAAAAGGUUAAUUAUGGUGGAGAUGUUCUGGUACUCAGGUUUGCUGAUGCUGGUGUGGAG
Molecule: long non-coding RNA, 626 nt
Filed under: Cyanistes caeruleus (blue tit)
Lineage: Eukaryota; Metazoa; Chordata; Aves; Passeriformes; Paridae
Description: lncRNA (ENSCCEG00000020195.1)
Source: RNAcentral